RNAcentral lists this ribosomal RNA (392 nucleotides) under uncultured bacterium. RNAcentral describes it as "bacterial SSU rRNA". It matches the Rfam family "Bacterial small subunit ribosomal RNA", at positions 28 to 418 of the family's 1533-position model. The record is from RNAcentral.
GACGAACGCUGGCGGCGUGCUUAACACAUGCAAGUCGAGCGGUAAGGCCCUUUCGGGGGUACGACGAGCGGCGAACGGGUGAGUAACACGUGGGUGACCUGCCCUUAGCUCUGGGAUAAGCCUGGGAAACUGGGUCUAAUACCGGAUAUGACUCCAUGACGCAUGUUGUGGGGUGGAAAGCCUUGUGCGGCUAGGGAUGGGCCCGCGGCCUAUCAGCUUGUUGGUGGGGUGAUGGCCACCAAGGCGACGACGGGUAGCCGGCCUGAGAGGGCGACCGGCCACACUGGGACGUGAGACACGGCCCAGACUCCUACGGGAGGGCAGCAGUGGGGAAGUCUUGCGCAAUGGGCGAAAGCCUGACGCAGCGACGCCGCGUGAGGGAUGACGGCCUC